UACGUAGGAGGCAAGCGUUGUUCGGAUUUACUGGGCGUAAAGGGCGCGUAGGCGGCGCGUAAAGUCGGACAUGAAAUCAUUAGGCUCAACCUAAUGGCUGUGUCCGAUACUUACGUGCUUGGAGUGCGGGAGAGGCAGCCGGAAGUCUCGGUGUAGCGGUGAAAUGCGUAGAUAUCGAGAGGAACACCGGUGACGAAGGUGGGUUGCUGGCCCGACACUGACGCUGAGGCGCGAAAGCUAGGGGAGCAAACGGG
This 254-nucleotide ribosomal RNA is filed under the name uncultured bacterium. Its description in RNAcentral is "partial 16S ribosomal RNA". It matches the Rfam family "Bacterial small subunit ribosomal RNA", at positions 524 to 776 of the family's 1533-position model. The record is from RNAcentral.